CAAAUGACAGCAUAUUAAUACCUAUUAUGACAUGGAACAAUAUUUCGACGGAAUAUUGAAUCGUGUAUUACAGUUGUCAUGUUCAGUAUUUUAGGACAUUUUGUAGGUUUUUUUGGCAAAAUCCUUAUGUCUCCAUUAAUUUUAUUGACAUGCACCUACUAGACUGGAAACACGAAAUCUUUUAACCAGCAGUAAAUUAUUUUCCACAGUGUUUACUUGUUUACGUGAAAGGUAUGUACGUAUAUUUAGGAAAAGUGCAUUUAUUUGUUUCAUUGGUUAAUUUAAAUCUUUCAAUUUUAAGCACAUAUUUUAUUCAUUUUAUAUUUGAUUGUAUUUAGUUUUCUUAUAUUUUCAUUGUUUCUCGUAUAGUGACUACUUAUACUACAAACUUAGAUAAACAAGCCAUUGCUAGUUAUGAUUCUGUUCAUGUACUUUUCUACGAACAGAAGACUCCCCCUGGUUAUGUUUUCAAAAGACACAAAAUAAAGAAGACAUACAGUUGGUUAAGUAAUUGACUAUUUGCCAUUCCUUAAGUGCCUAUGUACUCGUAGCAAGAAUGAAGUAUGUAUUUCCUUUAUAAAAUAGAAUAAAAUGAACAUUCUAAUGAAAUUAUUUAAAAAAAAAACGUUUAGUUUCAAAACCUAUUUACUUUAUAUGAACUUUUUGCUUGAAACACACAUUUUACUGUUCAAAGUCUAUUAACCAAUUAAUAGUUUCAAAAACAAUUAACCGGUUAUAUAAUAUUCUUCUUAAGUGAAACACUAGUAGCAGACAUUUCUCCGUUCUUCUAUAUUGUUUCAAUUUUCUCGUUUUAAUAGAAUUUUACUAGUAUUAAUUAGGUCAAUGAAGAAUAAGGUUUCACGGAUUUUUUUAACAUCGUCUAGACUUAAAAUUUGAAUAUGAUGGUCCAAAAUGUUUCAUUGAGACCGGAAGUAAGAGAGACAUAGUAAAGUGAAUCAUCAUACAUUGUCUGGAAAUAUACACCAAUGUAUUUCUGUAUAUUAAAACAGUUAUUUACUGGCUUUUCGGACGAUAGCAAGUUUAUUGCCCUCUCGUUAGCAAAUAUUACUCUCCGCCUCGCGUUGCGAAAUGGGUUGAGUCUUGAGGGAAAAUAAACUUGCUACUUAUCGAAUAAGUAUAUACAAUUAGUAUCACGAUUCACAUACUAUUUGCUUCAUCUUAUAAGUAAUUACACAUUAAAAUUAUCACACAGUUGUAAAUUAUAAGCUAAGGCUGGUAUCUUUGAUGAGUUUUUUACCAGCACUUUUUCACAUCAACAUAGUUAUCAUCUAUAAUUUACCACUCCUUAAUAAGCUCAUUUCUUAUUAUACAGAAUUUUAAUAAUUAUUGCUAUGGAAAGUUGCAGAACUAUAGCCCAUGAUGAAACAUUGAUCAUUUGGAGCAAAUACCUUGAAGUUGAUGUUUUGUCACAAAGCUGGGGCGUAUCAUGAGUCCAAAACAUUGGUCGCAGAUUAGAUGUUUACAUCCAUUUUAGCACAUGUUAGAUUACUGGUUGUAAAGGUUACCCAAUUGAAAGAUACAUUCUAUGGAAUUUAGUAACGAUGACAAUAAGAAUUUACAUGCCCUCAUUGCAAAAUUAUAUGGAUAAAGAGAUGGCAAAGUCUGUAAAAAAUGAAAGGACAUCGUAACAAGCCUUAUCUGUACAUUUAAAAUGUAGACCAAAUAAUAAGGCAAACUUACGUGCAUAUAUGGUAUCCUUUAUGUUAAUUUCUAGGGCACUUACAUAUAUGCGACAAAACAAGUUCCCGGUUCAUUCAGAGAAAACACUUAUCGAUAUUUCACAACUCUAAAACGGGUCAGUAACAAACCAUAUAACUUAUAAUAGGGGUAGAUAAAGAUCUAAAAUUUACGAGAAAUUACCCGUAUUAUUUCCAUUUCCCCUUUUUUUACUUUCCAAUUCUGUGUUCUAUGUCGCGGAUAACUUUCCUUUUUUGAAUAUCGUACAUGAGCAUUGUUGGUUGCUGCUUGCAAGGAAUGUAUUGAACCAAUGUUGCCUAUUGGUAAAGUCCUAUUUCCUACUUUUACGGACAUGAAAAAAGAAAGGCAACAGUAGUAUACUGCUGUUCGAAAUUCAUAAAUCGAUAGAGAAAAAAAUAAAAUCCGAGUUACAAACUGAAACUGAGGGAAACCCAUCAAAAAUAAGAUAACUACGACACAACAGAAACACAUGCUUACAUGGCAAUGUUAAUUACAACAUUAAAAUGACAAAAUUACAUGACAGGACAUGAAAGUUGUCGAAUGGGUGUUUAAACGCAUAUGAUCCGUUGCCACAACCCUGUGCUUUCCUCGAUAUGUCAUCAUUAAAUGUGACUGCAAUAAUUCGUAAUUGGCAAAAGUAGCAUGCACAACAGGUGCUUCUAAUUGAAAAGGAUCCAAAAGCUGUUUCUCGAUAUCUGAUUUUCCCCAAUUAUCAGCUGUAAUUUUUCAUGUUAAACCAUUUAACAAUCAACAAUCAAUUACUCGUGUUAUAACAUAAUUAUAAUAAUGGGUCAUUAGUCGUAUAUAUUCAAAUUUUUUUGUAUAAUAUAUUGAUUUCUCCCAUAUUAGUUCCUUAUCGAUUAAUACGCAAACCUAACAUUCGUUGAAAGGACAAACGAUUUAAGAGGUGCAGCUAUAUGUUUGUGAAACCACCAGUUUUUAUUAUAUUUUGUCCUUAGUAUCACGUCUACUUUAAUAUUGAAACGUAGCUGACAGAUGAUUAGUUUUAUAAAAUAGAAAUACGUUUUAGUUUCUCCUUAAUAUGAUGUGAUCUUUAUCAAAACAUAUUAUUCCUGUAUUACAACACCAAUAGUGAAACGAAUCUUCUACAACAUCGGAAGUUAAUUAAUACUUUUACAAGCUUUAAUAUUGUUUUCCCAUGUGUUUAACAUGAUAUUCUGUAUAUUAUACUCUAUACUGAGGGUAUCACAAGCCCUGUGGUCAGCACUUGACAUUGACAUGAAUAAUCAUUGAUACGAUCAUAAUUGUGAAUUAACUGUUUACAAAACUUUACAUAUUUGAAAUACAAAGGAUUUUCUAUCUCAGGUUAUAUUUGUUAUUCUCAUCGGAUUUUUUCAAAUGUCUAACGUCUUUUCUGUUAUAUUCGUUUGUUAUGGUUAAGAAAAUUAAUCACUCUCUUCAUUUAUUAGAUUUUAGUUUGGUUCCACGAAAUCUGUACGAUAUAUUUGCUUUACAGUUAGAUUCAGAAGAAACACCGACAUAGCUAGAUAAUAUAAUUAAUUAUCUAAUUAAUACCACAUAUUUUUGGGAAAUACUUUUAGAAAUUCAAAUGGGACGUCACUUUAUGUGGUUUUUAUUUUAUAGAAUUUCAAAUGUGACGUUGACAUGGUUGAGGCUUUGGCUAACUCGGCUGUGUAUUUUUAUCUGCUGGAUAAAGUUGUAAUGUAUUCGUUUUUAUUCUGUAGUUAGUUACCACUUCGGUUUUAUUAUGUAUAUCUAUCAUAUACUAGUAGUCAUUUUAUAAAAUUUGCUGUUUGCAAAAGUAUAAAUUAUUUUAAAUAAUAAGGAUGUUCUUAUCCCAGGCAGAAACCCUAGCCAUAUUGGACACUUUUAGGAAAUUUUGGUCCUCAAUGCUUUUCAACUUUGUACAUGUUUUGCAUUGGCUUUCGAGUUUUUUUCCUUUGAGCGUCACUAGUGUUUUGUGUGGACGCAACGAACGUCUGGCGUACUAGAAUUAAAACCUGGCAUCUUUUGGUAGCUAUUAUUCGGUGUUUGUCUGUCAUAUAUGUUCUUCCGUUUAUUUGUAUUGUAGUCCUGUUAUUUAAUGUUGUCAUUUUAAUGUUACAUUUAACAUUGCCAUAAAAGCGGGAGGUUUGGCUGGACACAAAACCAGGUUCAACCCGCCAAUUAUUUUCUUCAAAUGUCCUGUCAGGAAAAUGGUCAUUGUUAUAUUAUAGAUUGUUUCUGUGUGUGGUUUCAUUUUAAUGUUGUGUUUCUGUUGUGUCGUUGUUCUCCUCUGAUAUUCGAUGCGUUUCCUCAGUUUUAGUUUGUUACCCGGAUUUGUUUUUUUCUCAAGUCUAUUUAUGAGUUUCAAACAGCGGUAUACUACUGUGUCUUUAUUUAGGAAUAGAUUACCUAAGCUGUAUUUGUCAAAACUUUUAGGAUUUUUUAGUUCUAAAUGUUCUUCAACUUCGUACUUAAAAGGGGACGAAAGAUAUCAGAAGGACAGUCAAACUCAUUAAUCGAAAAUAAACUGACAACGCCAUGGUUAAAAAUGAAAAGGACAAACAGACAAGCAAUAGUACAAAUGACACAACAUGGAAAACUAGAAAAGUUUAAAAACCCACCAAAAACUAGGGGUGAUCUCAGGUGCUCCGGAAGGGUAAGCAAAUCCUGCUCCACAUGUGGCCUCCCGUCGUGUUGCUUAUGAGAUAACAAAUCCGGUAAAUCAUUUUCUGUAGGUCACAUUCAUGAAAGGGAAGCGGAUUGUAGUUACGACGUAAUGAACAUAUUCCGAUAUCUUUUGUGAAACGGUAUUCCAUAACGGUCAACCAACUCGUGAUGGCGCCCGUAAAAUUUACGAAGAGAUGAUUUUUACUUCACCAUUUGGAACUCUUGAUUCAAUAGCUUCCUUGUGAUCAACAACCCUCUAUCCAGAAAAUCAUGAUAGGAAAUGCAAGCAUGGGCCUUUUUGCCUUUUUUUAUUCGGGCGUAACUAAUGUAGACGAAACGCGCGUCUGGCACAAAUGCAAAAUUUCAAUCCUGGUAUCUAUGAUGAGUUUAUGUAUAGUCAUGAAACGUCCCGGAAAACAUUAUAAUUAUAAGUAUAAUUAUUUUGAAUGCAUAUCUACAUGGCUUGAAAAAAAUUCUUUAUUACUGUUGUAAAAUAAUAAUAUAUUUGUUAUAAACAUAGGUAAGCAUCGAGUAAUAUAAAAAUAAUCAUCAAGGAAAAACACAUAUACGACAUACGUAUUUGAAAAUUUCUCUACAGUCACAACCAUGUCAGAAUUCAGUUAUAUAUUCAAUUAUAAAAAGUCAUGGGAAUUAAAGCAUAUUCAAGAUUUUUAUUAUACAUGUACGAUGUUUCGCUGUUUUUUUGGGAUAAAUAUUAGGGUGAACAAACCCUAUGUUUGUUUUGCAGAACACAAGAUAAGAGUAUCGGUGUGUUAGAAUUAACAUGCUUGAUUUAUUUCAUUAAAGCAUAAUGUAUUCAGUUUGUUGCUGGAAAAUAGGUUCAAUAUAUUACAUUUACUAAGUUACAGCAAACUCAUUUACCAUUGAAUAUUGUUUUUCAUCUAAGUACUUGGUAUGAAUAAAAGAGUAUAACAAAAUUACCGAACUUCAAGGUAAAUUACCGAACUUCAAGGUAAAUUACCGAACGUCAAGGUAAAUUACCGAACUUCAAGGUAAAUUACCGAACGUCAAGGUAAAUUUUAAAAAAAGGAGGACGUCAUAAAACUGACAAGGUCUUACGUUAGACUUUAUCAUCAACAGAACAAAUGAAAACAACUGUCGUACUCCUGACAUGGUACAGGUAUUUCCAAAAAAACCCAAAAUGGUGGGUUAAACAUAUUCAUAUAGCUAUCUAAACCUCGUAAACCAGUUAGUAUGAAUAAUUCUGAUUUCACAGAAUCCCAAUUUUUUCUAUUGGGGGAAUUUUGCAUCAAAAAGUAUGAUACACAAAACAUUUGUAAAUAAACGUGAAGACAUCUCAUGUUAAAAUGAGUACACUGUCAAUAUGUUGUGCAACUAUAUCUCUAUAAGUUCAAGACAGGUUUUGUCUUGAAAAGUCGGCAAAUUUCUCUUCUUUAGCUUUGUAGUGGGUAUUAAAGGGGCACUAGCUGUCAAAUUCAUUGUAACCGAUUUGACUCAAAUUCUCAUAUUUGGUUUAUAACAAUGUAAAACAUUUACCAAACUAUCAAAAGUAAAAUAACAGUUUGCAAGCUUAGAUAAUAUAUAGGUUCGUUUCGUGUGUAUUUAGUCCAGACGCCAUCUAUUAACUAUCGAUUUGACCAGAUGACCAUAUAGCGAUGUAACAAAAAUAAAGAUACGAAUAGAUUAAACCAACACGUGCAAUUGCAUUUUUUAUAGGUCUGUUUGAUUUUAUUUAUAGAUUAAAAAUAGAUGUUUCUCAUUGUUUUUAACAUAUAGAAUGAUUUUUGUGCAUCGAAUUAGUAAUCAAAUAUUUACCGUAGUUUCCUUUCAUUGGACAUUCUUUUUUCUUUAAAUAACCAGUACACGUACAAUGCAUGCGUGUCAAUCUCUAGCUAGGGUUAACUUGAGUUAUAUGAAUACCGGUUAGAAUGAUGAUGACGUUUUCACUUGCAAGUGAAUCAGUCAAAAAAUUAUGUUUAAUCGCUUAUUUCAACAAAAUUAAGGAAAUUGAUUGCUAAGCAAUUAUUAUUUCAUUAUUCCAAUUUGAUUAAUGAUUGAUUAAAAAUCAUACUUUAUUUUUUUAUAUAUAUCGUAGCUAGUGCCCCUUUAAGCAAUUAUCCGCGAAUCCAUUAUUUAUGUCAAGCUUUUAAUUUAUUACUUUAGUAUGAUAUUUAAUGGAUUUAACAAAUUUUCAUAGGACAGACAUUAAAGCCUUAUUAUCUAUUAGAAAUUUACGAUGGAAUUGAUUUAUGUAUACCAUUCAUAAGGAACUUAUAUAAUGAAAUAUAGUUUUUAUAACUAAGAAUAAUUUAUACGGAACUUAAUUGCAUCGUGAUAUGUAAACUGACUCUUUCAGCUGGAUAUGUCGGCACCAAAAGUUAUUGAAAAAGCAUACACUCAAAAUCGAUAUAAGUUCAAAAGCUGCAUAAAAUUCUAUAGUGCCUAAUCAUAAUGACGCAAUGAGUCUUAAAUUUAAUCUGCCAGACGAAGCCAGAAGACUGAAAACCAAAUAUUUUAUUUACGACUUAAAUGUUGCUAUAUGUAUUUUUUAGGGGAAGGAAAAGCGUUGAUCGAAUCAAGUUUCGUAUGAAGCUGGUACCUCCCUUCGUGCUAAAAAUUGCCUAUAAUUAACGUUUUUAAAAACCUUAAAGGAUACAGAAAGAUACAUUCAAUUUUAUUCAUUACAUCGUGAUGCCACAUUCAUGAAAUUACGAGUUAUAACAUAUUUUUUCCGCAUUGUUGUGAUGUUAUCAUGGAAACCGCAUGUUGUCAUGAAUUUUGCAUUUUAUUAGCAAUUAAAAUAUAACGACACACACUUCCACUGAAUACACAUGAUGUUUACUCAAAAACUAGUUGCAAUUGUGUCAUACAUAUGCAGGACUAGAAUCAAAUAUUAAUGAUUUGGUGUUUUUUUUUUUUUAAAUGUAGACAGAAAUAAAGUGCAAGGUAUUUGAACAGUCGCUGACAAAAGAUAUCCAGAAAUAUUUGGACGCUUCAAAUUGAUAAAGUGUUAUUUUUAUUGAUAUGGUUUUAUUUAUAAAUUUACUGUUUACAAAAUAUUGAAGUUUUUGAAAUACUAAGGCUUUUCUACCUCAAGUAUAGAUUACCUUAGCUGUAUUUGGCAAAACUUUUUAGGAAUUUUGGUCCUCAAUGCUCUUCAACUUCGUACUUUAUUUGGCGUUUUAAACUUUUUUGGAUUCAAGCGUCACUGAUGAGUCUUUUGUAGACGAAACGCGGGUCUGGCGUAUAUACUAAAUUUAAUCCUGGUAUCUAUGAUGAGUUUAUUUUCAUUAUUCGAGAACUUGGUCGAAGCCGUUGCUGGUUGACUGUUAGUCCCUGAGGGUAUCGUCAGCUCUGUUUUGAGUACUUUGGUACUGAUAUGAUUUAUGAAACACUUUAUUUUAAUUCUCUGUUGAUGCAAUAAUAAAUUAGUUUGAAUUAAUGUUCCAACUCCAACAGUCAGCUGAGUUAAACUCAUUCAUUUUAAACUAUUAAUCUUUUGCCUUAAUAUCAUAUUUAAUUGAUUUAACUUAUUUCAUGCGACAGACAUUAGCUCUUUAUUAUUUAUAAGAAUUUUGCGAUGAAAUUGAUUUUUGUAAACCAUUCUUAAGGAACUUAUCUAACGGAAAUAUUAUUUUAUAACUGAGAAUAAAAUGGAUUUAAUGGCAUCAUAAUAUUUAAUCUGGAUACAAUUAAAGGAAUGAUUUCGCCCACAAAAUGAUUAAUGUUUAGUAUGUAGGAAUUCUUAUAUAUUUUUCCAUAUUUUGUUAUUCUUUGUAGUACUCUUUUGGUCAAUUAGGCUCUCACGUAUUUCGAUAUAUUUGGUAGAAUUCAUUAGUUUUCAUAUGUUGGUGUUAGGGCGUUUCUGAGGAACGAAAAUAACUUCCAAUGCACCAAAUUUAUAAAGUGUAAAUUUAAAUUUCUAUUUCCAGGGUAACAUUAGGGUUAAGCUAGAAAGGGUAUAUUUAGUUUCAACAUACUAUUUUUCAUCACAUUACUUGUUUUGUUUGUGUUUUUAAGAUGGCAUCCUGUAAACCACUUGUAGUUUUGAUAAUAGCUUCAAUACUGGUGUGUGUCCAUACACAGACAGCAGCAAUGCGAGUAUUUCCGAAAAGAGCCAAUGGCAGCUUUGG
This 8468-nucleotide long non-coding RNA is filed under the name Mytilus galloprovincialis (Mediterranean mussel). Lineage: Eukaryota; Metazoa; Mollusca; Bivalvia; Mytilida; Mytilidae. The record is from RNAcentral.